CGCGGCCUAUCAGCUUGUUGGUGAGGUAAUGGCUUGCCAAGGCGACGACGGGUAGCCGGCCUGAGAGGGUGACCGGCCACACUGGGACUGAGACACGGCCCAGACUCCUACGGGAGACAGCAGUGGGGAAUAUUGCACAAUGGGCGAAAGCCUGAUGCAGCGACGCCGCGUGAGGGAUGACGGCCUUCGGGUUGUAAACCUCUUUCAGUAGGGAAGAAGCGAAAGUGACGGUACCUGCAGAAGAAGCGCCGGCUAACUACGUGCCAGCAGCCGCGGUAAUACGUAGGGCGCAAGCGUUAUCCGGAAUUAUUGGGCGUAAAGAGCUCGUAGGCGGUUUGUCGCGUCUGCCGUGAAAGUCCGGGGCUCAACUCCGGAUCUGCGGUGGGUACGGGCAGACUAGAGUGAUGUAGGGGAGACUGGAAUUCCUGGUGUAGCGGUGAAAUGCGCAGAUAUCAGGAGGAACACCGAUGGCGAAGGCAGGUCUCUGGGCAUUAACUGACGCUGAGGAGCGAAAGCAUGGGGAGCGAACAGGAUUAGAUACCCUGGUAGUCCAUGCCGUAAACGUUGGGCACUAGGUGUGGGGGACAUUCCACGUUUUCCGCGCCGUAGCUAACGCAUUAAGUGCCCCGCCUGGGGAGUACGG
RNAcentral lists this ribosomal RNA (643 nucleotides) under uncultured Actinomycetes bacterium. RNAcentral describes it as "bacterial SSU rRNA". It matches the Rfam family "Bacterial small subunit ribosomal RNA", at positions 232 to 885 of the family's 1533-position model. Lineage: Bacteria; Bacillati; Actinomycetota; Actinomycetes. The record is from RNAcentral.